CUUUCUCCUUGAGUACACAAAAGUGUCUUCCAGCUUCGGGUCUCAUAAAGGACUAUUUUCAUUCUCCCAGUUGCCCCCCUGAAAUUUUGUGAUUGAAUAAUUCUGCUCUUGUCUUGCAGCUCGGGGCUUUUGUGUUGCUGGUAGGCUGGGAGGAGAGAGGAUGCCCCCUUGAGUGAGACCCUUCUGCGUACCCCUGGCCAUGCUUGGCCAGCGACUGCAGACCACGUGGCUGGCCAGGUUCCCCAUCCCAUUGGUCUGUCUGGCAGUUUUCUGCACAUGUGAGCGAUGCCCUGGAAGCAGAAUAGUGUGUCAUGCGCCAGAAACUGAAGCAGGAUAAUGGCUGAGAGAACCAAGAACUCUGGCUGACCUCCUG
RNAcentral lists this long non-coding RNA (373 nucleotides) under Cavia porcellus (domestic guinea pig). RNAcentral's name for it is "lncRNA (ENSCPOG00000032115.1)". The record is from RNAcentral. Lineage: Eukaryota; Metazoa; Chordata; Mammalia; Rodentia; Caviidae.